This 153-nucleotide unclassified non-coding RNA is filed under the name uncultured fungus. RNAcentral describes it as "sequence contains ITS2". The record is from RNAcentral. Lineage: Eukaryota; Fungi.
GUACCUUCAAGCUUUGCUUGGUGUUGGGUGUUUGUCCCGCCUUUGUGUGCGGACUCGCCUUAAAGCAAUUGGCAGCCGGCGUAUAGGUUUCGGAGCGCAGCACAAAACGCGCUUUGUGUCCAUUACGGCGGCGUCCAUUAAGCCUCUUUUAAC